RNAcentral lists this ribosomal RNA (834 nucleotides) under uncultured bacterium. RNAcentral describes it as "bacterial SSU rRNA". It matches the Rfam family "Bacterial small subunit ribosomal RNA", at positions 30 to 872 of the family's 1533-position model. The record is from RNAcentral.
UGAACGCUAGCGGCAGGCUUAACACAUGCAAGUCGAGGGGUAUAGUAGCAAUACUAGAGACCGGCGCACGGGUGCGUAACGCGUAUGCAAUCUACCUUUCACAGAGGGAUAGCCCAGAGAAAUUUGGAUUAAUACCUCAUAGUAUAAUGAGUUGGCAUCAACCCAUUAUUAAAGUCACAACGGUGAAAGAUGAGCAUGCGUCCCAUUAGCUAGUUGGUAUGGUAACGGCAUACCAAGGCGACGAUGGGUAGGGGUCCUGAGAGGGAGAUCCCCCACACUGGUACUGAGACACGGACCAGACUCCUACGGGAGGCAGCAGUGAGGAAUAUUGGACAAUGGGCGCAAGCCUGAUCCAGCCAUGCCGCGUGCAGGAUGACGGUCCUAUGGAUUGUAAACUGCUUUUGUACAGGAAGAAACAGUUCUACGUGUAGAGCCUUGACGGUACUGUAAGAAUAAGGAUCGGCUAACUCCGUGCCAGCAGCCGCGGUAAUACGGAGGAUCCAAGCGUUAUCCGGAAUCAUUGGGUUUAAAGGGUCCGUAGGCGGGUUAAUAAGUCAGUGGUGAAAUCUCCCCGCUCAACGGGGAAACGGCCAUUGAUACUGUUAGUCUUGAAUUAUUAGGAAGUAACUAGAAUAUGUAGUGUAGCGGUGAAAUGCUUAGAGAUUACAUGGAAUACCAAUUGCGAAGGCAGCUUACUAGCGGUUUACUGACGCUGAUGCACGAAAGCGUGGGGAUCAAACAGGAUUAGAUACCCUGGUAGUCCACGCCGUAAACGAUGAUAACUCGCUGUUGGCGAUACACAGUCAGCGGCUUAGCGAAAGCGUAAGUAUCCAC